GAUGAAGAACGCAGCGAAAUGCGAUACGUAAUGUGAAUUGCAGAAUUCAGUGAAUCAUCGAAUCUUUGAACGCACAUUGCGCCUGCCAGCACUCUGGCAGGCAUGCCUGUUCGAGCGUCAUUUCAACCAUCAAGCCCUAGGCUUGCGUUGGAGCCCUGCGGCUGCCGCAGGCCCCUAAAAGCAGUGGCGGGCUCGCUAUCACACCGAGAGCAGUAGAUUACUCUUCGCUCAGGGCGUGUGGCGGGUUCCAGCCGUGAAUCCCCCUACUUCUCAAGGUUGACCUCGGAUCAGGUAGGAAUACCCGCUGAACUUAAGCAUAUCAAUAAGCGGAGGA
This 334-nucleotide unclassified non-coding RNA is filed under the name soil metagenome. RNAcentral describes it as "partial contains 5.8S ribosomal RNA, internal transcribed spacer 2, and large subunit ribosomal RNA". The stretch from base 1 to 120 matches the Rfam family "5.8S ribosomal RNA", at positions 35 to 154 of the family's 154-position model. The record is from RNAcentral.